UUGAAAUAAACCUGAUGGGUUGUUGCUGGUUCUCUAGGGAGCAUGUGCACGCCUUGUCAUCUUUAUAUCUCCACCUGUGCACCUUUUGUAGACCCUUUUUUUUUUGGGUCUAUGUUGCUUCAUUUACCCCCAAUGCAUGUUAAUAGAAUGUUGUGCCUAUAAAAUUUAUA
RNAcentral lists this unclassified non-coding RNA (170 nucleotides) under uncultured Cortinarius. Its description in RNAcentral is "sequence contains ITS1". Lineage: Eukaryota; Fungi; Basidiomycota; Agaricomycetes; Agaricales; Cortinariaceae. The record is from RNAcentral.